RNAcentral lists this long non-coding RNA (321 nucleotides) under Actinidia chinensis (golden kiwifruit). RNAcentral describes it as "long non-coding RNA (ACHI_LNC001846)". Lineage: Eukaryota; Viridiplantae; Streptophyta; Magnoliopsida; Ericales; Actinidiaceae. The record is from RNAcentral.
UUAGUUACAGGAACCGUCUGCAAGGCAGACGCUCCUCCCCGAGAAAUGCGAUUCCGCGUUUCUCGCUCGGAAACGCAAUGGGAGCGCGAUCCCAAGAGACGGAAACGCGAUCCUAAGGAAGAUGGGAGCUUAUCUGUGAUUUCUGGUCGCCGUCGUAGUUAACAGAUUCUGACGAGAUAGAUCUGCACCUUGCCUGACUCCGACGAAGCUUCUUGUGACCUCCGGCGCCUAUAUCGAAGCCUCCAGCGCCUGAAUCGAACCUCCGGCGCCGGAGGGUGCCUAGAUCGAACCCUCCGCCGUGACCCUUUCUCUCUCUCUCCC